RNAcentral lists this long non-coding RNA (1357 nucleotides) under Homo sapiens (human). RNAcentral's name for it is "long intergenic non-protein coding RNA 544". Lineage: Eukaryota; Metazoa; Chordata; Mammalia; Primates; Hominidae. The record is from RNAcentral.
GAGCUCUGCUUGUUCCCUCUUCAGACUGGCAGGUGGUUAUAGAGGUGUUUGGGGUGUCAGCUCUGAAAUGCUAAAAAUAAAACCAGGCUUUCUAUCCUGGGAUGUCUCAUUAGUUUGCUUACAAAUGAGUCCCCCUGCAGUUUUUCAGCAAUUGGCUAACAAGCUCUAAUUUGAGCGUUUGGGCUGGACCUUGGCUCAGUGGGAGCAGACGCGGAGCAGACGCCUUCUCGGAGCUGCCUGUUUGGGGAAGCUGGUCGUUUCCACUCUAGCUCAGCCUCCCAGAACAGGGAAGCUGCAGGAAAGUUGACAAAAGCACAGCAAAGCAGGGAGAGCCUCCUCGGUAGAGAGCAACGACCAGGUGGGUGUGGGUGUGGAGAGCAGUGGGGCCCACCUGGGCAGGUGCGGGGGGAUGGGAGGAGGGGCUGAGAGUGCUCUCUAAGUUAAGGUCACGGUGUAGAGGAGAGGACUUGAAAACUUCCUGCAGCAGCUUCGUGGCCCGGUGAAAUGUUCUCAGCAGCAAGCAUGAAGCUCUGAUUUGUAAAAAAAUCAAUACGGCUUGCAUGCCAACUAUGCCUUCUCCAAUCCUGCAUUUGUGAUGUCAGAGGUUGUCAUUCUGGGCUAUGGAGCAAACCUUUCAGGGUUGACCCAGUCCUUCUAGGUCAUGUGGAGUGGGCCAGCUUUAAUGAACCUGUCUAAAAGGAAGGAAGAGAAAGAGCUCAGCUCCUUAGGGGAACAAGGUGGACCUUGGCAGCUGUCUCACUCCUCACCAGCUCUUCACCUCAGAUCUUGUCCUGACUUCCUGGUCCACUAACGGCCUCCUGGAUAGAAGAGUCAGGCAGAGAACAAAGAUUGGUGGCUUCCUCCUGAGCACACUGGGAUGUGGCAUUACAUCGGGGCUGCUGAGUGCCCUUACCUUCAGCUGCCCAGAUGCAGAGGCAGGUAUUUGGCUAGAAGUUAUCACUGAUACGUUUCCAGAACACAUGGAGGCCAAGGCAGACAAAAGUAAAGAUGGAAACCAGACCAGUAAAUAAGUCCUUUGAUGAACUUCUGAGUCUCUACAGAUGAAGGCAAAGCUCCCUCACAGUUGCAGGCAACGUCUCAUCUUUUGUCACUUCUGGCAUGACACUGCACAGCCACAGCCAGUACGGUAUCUCUGCCUUUGCCCAUGUCCUGCCUUCUUUCUCCCUGGUCGGUAUCUCCUCACCUCAACCAGCUUGGCCAGCUCCUUGGUCAUUGGGGUUGCACCCACCCAGGCAUGUGCCUGGCUCCGCACAACCUCAGAAGCUCUCAGUACAGUGCAGGACCAGAGGUUGAAACCAAUGAAAGGUUGUUAAAUAAAGAGAAAAUGUUUAAUGCU